This 404-nucleotide ribosomal RNA is filed under the name uncultured bacterium. RNAcentral's name for it is "bacterial SSU rRNA". It matches the Rfam family "Bacterial small subunit ribosomal RNA", at positions 355 to 776 of the family's 1533-position model. The record is from RNAcentral.
UGGGGAAUAUUGGACAAUGGGGGCAACCCUGAUCCAGCCAUGCCGCGUGAGUGAUGACGGCCUUAGGGUUGUAAAGCUCUUUUCUCCGGGACGAUAAUGACGGUACCGGAGGAAUAAGCCCCGGCUAACUUCGUGCCAGCAGCCGCGGUAAUACGAAGGGGGCUAGCGUUGCUCGGAAUCACUGGGCGUAAAGGGCGCGUAGGCGGCUGACUUAGUCGAGGGUGAAAGCCCGUGGCUCAACCACGGAAUGGCCUUCGAUACUGGUUGGCUUGAGACCGGAAGAGGACAGCGGAACUGCGAGUGUAGAGGUGAAAUUCGUAGAUAUUCGCAAGAACACCAGUGGCGAAGGCGGCUGUCUGGUCCGGUUCUGACGCUGAGGCGCGAAAGCGUGGGGAGCAAACAGG